AGGAAUUGGCGGGGGAGCACCACAAGGGGUGAAGCCUGCGGUUCAAUUGGGGUCAACGCCGGGAACCUUACCGGGAGCGACAGCAGAUUGAAGGUCAAGCUGAAGACUUUACCAGACGAGCUGAGAGGAGGUGCAUGGCCGUCGCCAGCUCGUGCCGUGAGGCGUCCUGUUAAGUCAGGCAACGAGCGAGACCCCUACUUUUAAUUGCUGUCAGGGAUCGCAAGAUUUCUGAGGCUAGUUAGAAGGACUGCCGCCGCUAAGGCGGAGGAAGGAAGGGGCCACGGCAGGUCAGUAUGCCCCGAAUCUUCCGGGCAACACGCGCGCUACAAAGGUCGGGACAAUGGGAUCCGACCCCGAGAGGGGAAGGCAAUCCUGAAACCCGAUCGUAGUCUGGAUCGAGGGCUGUAACUCGCCCUCGUGAAAAUGGAUUCCGUAGUAAUCGCGGGUCAGCAUCCCGCGGUGAAUGUGCCCCUGCUCUUUGCACACACCGCCCGUC
This 496-nucleotide ribosomal RNA is filed under the name uncultured crenarchaeote. RNAcentral describes it as "bacterial SSU rRNA". It matches the Rfam family "Archaeal small subunit ribosomal RNA", at positions 860 to 1354 of the family's 1478-position model. The record is from RNAcentral. Lineage: Archaea; Thermoproteati; Thermoproteota.